GGGUAAUUCAAACUUGCCAAGCGGCCAUGACUCAAGCAUUUCGCCCAGCAUUCAUGUUUUUCCUUUAAAAAGAUUAAAUUCUUGUUAUGCUGGUUUAGAUGAAGGUAUUAAGUGCCAAAGAAUGAACCUCAUUUUGUUGGAACUUGAAUAUCAUCAUCUAAAGCAAGCCUAAAAAAAAGUUAUUCUUUUCAAAGGAAAAAUAUGAAUGCGGGGUGAAAUGCUUGAGUCCUGUUGUUUUGCAAGUUUGAAUUUACC
RNAcentral lists this microRNA precursor (255 nucleotides) under Medicago truncatula (barrel medic). RNAcentral's name for it is "miR2592n stem-loop (mtr-MIR2592n)". Lineage: Eukaryota; Viridiplantae; Streptophyta; Magnoliopsida; Fabales; Fabaceae. The record is from miRBase by way of RNAcentral.